RNAcentral lists this ribosomal RNA (467 nucleotides) under uncultured bacterium. RNAcentral describes it as "partial 16S ribosomal RNA". It matches the Rfam family "Bacterial small subunit ribosomal RNA", at positions 28 to 507 of the family's 1533-position model. The record is from RNAcentral.
GACGAACGCUGGCGGCGUGCUUAACACAUGCCAGUCGAACGAUGACGACCGAGCUUGCUCGGUCUGAUUAGUGGCGAACGGGUGAGUAACACGUGAGCAACCUGCCCUUCACUCUGGGAUAACCUCGGGAAGUCGGGGCUAAUACCGGAUAUGAGCUCCUGUCGCAUGGCGGGUGUUGGAAAGUUUUUCGGUGAAGGAUGGGCUCGCGGCCUAUCAGUUUGUUGGUGAGGUAGUGGCUCACCAAGGCGAUGACGGGUAGCCGGCCUGAGAGGGCGACCGGCCACACUGGGACUGAGACACGGCCCAGACUCCUACGGGAGGCAGCAGUGGGGAAUAUUGCACAAUGGGCGAAAGCCUGAUGCAGCGACGCCGCGUGAGGGAUGACGGCCUUCGGGUUGUAAACCUCUUUCAGCAGGGAAGAAGCGAAAGUGACGGUACCUGCAGAAGAAGCGCCGGCUAACUACGUG